This 462-nucleotide ribosomal RNA is filed under the name Triticum aestivum (bread wheat). RNAcentral's name for it is "partial small subunit ribosomal RNA". The record is from RNAcentral. Lineage: Eukaryota; Viridiplantae; Streptophyta; Magnoliopsida; Poales; Poaceae.
AUGCAGAUCUUCGUCAAGACCAUCACCGGGCAGACUCUCACCCUCGAGGUCAAGGGCACCGACACCGUCGACGCAAUCAAAGCUCAGAUCCAGGACAAGCAAGGGAUCGCCGGCACCGCCUCCGAGGACCCGCACCAGCUGCCGUCUCUCGUCUUCGCCGGGAAGCAGCUAGACGAGGAGGACGGCCGGACGCUGGCCGACUACGGCAUCGGCAAGGAGUCGACGCUGCACCACGUGCUCGGCCUCCGCGGCGGCUUCCGGCAACGAAGCUGGUACCCCCACAUCAACCCCACCCUCCUAGCGCUUGCGCUCCGCUACAACGAGAACAAGAUGAUCUGCCGCAAGUGCUAUGGACGUCUUCCUCCGGGGGCUACCAACUGCCGCAAGAAGAAGUGUGGCCACACCAAUGACCUAAGGCCGAAGAAACGUUUCGAUGGUAGAGCAGGUUUACGGGGGAAAUAG